AGGUAGUCAUUUCAUUAUCAUAUCUGAAAAAUUCAUCUCUACUGUACCACAGUGAAGCUUAGCAAUGGAUGAUGCUCUGACAUUCAAUAAAUAAAAUAAAAAAGGAACAUCCCCAGCAUGACACAUGCUCUAGUUUGCGCUCCAUAGAGUACUAGAGAAGGUGAUAGCUAAUAUCAACUAGCUGAUUCCCAGUUACAAAAACGAGUUAGCAAGCAACAUGUUUCAGUUACAAAAAAGAAAAUGAUGGACCCAAUAAUAGCCUAAGCAAACUAGCAAGGUCUUGUCCUCCGGAGUGGCGUCCUCUAGGGCUCCAUCAUCUAUGACCUUUUCCCCUUCAAUAAGGCCUGGAACUCUUUUGCUGAGUUGAGAGUGUUUUGCGGGUGCUUGAAAAGCUUUGCUGCAACAAACGCCCGGAACUUGAGCAACGACCUCGUAUCCUGAUGCAAAAGAAAAAAAAGAUACACAUGAUAAGACAUUAGCUGGGCAGGUGAAUGGUGUUAGCAAAAAGAGUAUGUUUCGCUGCUAGCGUUGCACAAACAAAUCCUAUACACAUGAUCUUUAGCUACUAGUGCUGCAUAGCAAAAAAUGGGUCGUACCGUGUUGAAUGGAUUCAUCCCCCUGGAGUCAGAUUCUCCAUGUAUAGAAUAGCGAAAAACCCACAAUCAAACCUGCCACCAAAUAAACACAAAAAAGGAGAUGAGGUUUGCUUCCCCUGAAACAAAUGCAAACUUCUGUGGAUGGGCACAUGGAAAACAAAGGAAAAAUGAAAAAAUAAUUAAAAUACAUUGUAGACUGUUGCGGAUACCCAUCUGGGCUGAAACAAACAAAUGUAUCAAGGUCGUGCUUCCAUGGGUUUUGUUCUCUGACCCAAAGUUUUAAAGUUUGCUAUCUGCACAUUUGGUAUUGGAAAAAAGAAAAGAGAUAUAAGCAAGUGAUGCAGUGGCAUCUUUUUUGAUUUGUACCGCAAACAUAAAAUUGAUACAAAGAAAAAAAGGAAUGACCAGAAAAGAUGGAAGGGGUGUAGCGCCCAUACCAGAUUGCGACAUGGCUCCUCAAGAACACUGACGUAGUCAGGAUCGUCACUCCUGGAAUCAAACACAUUGAAUUGUUUUUGCAUCAAGUUUGCAACCACAACUGCCCAAUGCCCGUCCUGGACAAUUGUGAAGAAGAGCUGCAAAAUUAAAAAAGAAAAAAAAUUCAAAAACCCAUAGCAUGUUGCGCUAAAAGAUAGCUCUGAUGCAAGAACAAAAAUGUUUUACCUGAUCACCAUUUGCAAUGUUGUUCCUUUCACAGGCCCUUUUGAAAUCUUUGAUGCAAGACCCUGUCUGAAAAGAAUUCGGCUCCACAGCAAGCUUGGUCUAUUGUAUACAAACAAAUCUAUUGAUUAGAACUGAAUGUUGCGGACAGAAACACAAGUGAUAAAAAAGGGGAAAAAGAGUAGUUGACUCACAGCCAUAUGCGGCGAGAAUGCAAACUUUCUAGGCUUGCUUGAGCUGUACAUGUGCUCGAUGUUGAAACUUUCAAUGUAUAGUGACAUCGCCUCAUUGUUCAAAUGUGCGCGCUUUUUGAGGCUGUUGCCGAAAUGUUUGAAAGAAACAUCAAACCCGCCUAUCCUAAUGAAUGGAGGGCUACAUAUUGCAAAAAAAGAAAGUGGGUCGGUUAGAGGUAAAGAAUUUUUUUCUCUACAUACAAAAAGAGAGUACAAAAACCCUUACAGUGGCUCGCCUUUUGGUGGGUCCUUAAUAUGGUAAUUGGUGCAACAGUACUGCUUGUAUAUGGCAUCGUCUGUUGCAUCAAUUUUGAUCUUCUUCAUCUUCUUCAACUUGGGUGCAUUUUCUGGCGAUUUUGUAGCUCUCUUGAGUGUUUCCUUCUUCACAUCGCGGUUGUGCCCGCUGCUAACUUCAAUCACCACCUCCUCUCUUGUCUCAUCAACACCUGCUUCUGUCCCCGCAAAUGAAAAAGCAAACAAAAACAAUGAAAAGAGAUAAAAAUGGUUUGGAGCAUGGAGGAGCUAAAGUUUCUACAAAAUCAUGACUUGAUGACAAAGCAAAAUAUAGUUAGAGGAGAUGAGUUGUACAAACCUGCAGGGCCUGUGGAAAUUGGAGGAUAUGUUGCGAGGAGAGUCACAUCAAAAACUGGGACAAUUGAAGUGGCCGGAGAUCCAUCAAGCAGAGGGCUUCUCGUACGAAUUGCCAAAAAGGAGUCCAAAUUUGAAACGGAUGAUUUUGUAGGGGAGGAGUGGACUUGAUGAACUUCCUGAAAUAGUAAAUCAUCGUCACUCCCAAGUUCGAACAAACCAAAUGAAGGCCCAUCUUCAAGUGUCCCUAGCCUCCUUGUCAAAUUGACAUGUGCGAAGCUUGGGUGGCGAGGGGACUUUGCUUCAGUGUUGAUUACCUUGCUGCAUAAAUCUUCUCCCUUGCCAUUGCUCUUAUCAUUCCCAUAGCUUUGAUCAUUUACCUUGCUUUGAUCACUUGUCUUUGUGUGGCAUUGUUGUUUUGACCAACUUCCGUUGUUGGACCACUUUUCUUUGCCCCAUCCGGUUUCUUGGACUGCUGCGGAGAUGGUACAUUGGCGGGCUGCUUCGGCGAUGGUACAGUGGCAGGCUGCUCCGGAAACAUGCCUGCGGAAGAAGCUCCUCCUGGCACACUAAAUAUGAUGUCUUCACCUUUAUCUCUCUGCUCAUGAAUCCCGCGUUCAGCUUUGUGUGCCUCAGACAGCAUUAGGCCCAUUCGCUUAUUGUACAUGCCCUGCAAGACCCUCCUAAAUGAGUUGAAUGCAGCAUUAAGUUCUCUAGCAUGGAGCUCUUUGUGCUUGUUGUAUAUGACUUGCAUAUGUGUGGGCAGCUGCAAAAAAUGCAUAGAAACAAAAAGGGUAUUAGAUGCUAAUUGGUGUUGUUUUUGAUAUCGCAUUCAAUCAAGGUUGCAAAAUAUAGAAAAACAAAGAAAGAAGUUGCAGAAAAGAAAAAAGAAUCCACCUCUAGCUCCUCGAUUGUUGGCAAUGCGUGCAUCCACUCCUCCAAAGAGCCACAUACAUCGUCACCACUGUCCGUGUUAGCUGGAGGCGACUCAUGCACAAGCUCUGGGCUGCCAUUGGUACCCCCAGUACCGGCAUGAGGUGUGCCUUGAGAACCCACAUGUGCUCCCACAUGUACAUUUGCCUGCAUGUGGGAGCUCUCCGGCACAUCUGAAGUGUGUGUUGCGCCCCAACAACAUCCCCUUGGUCACCGAUUUCUGGCAACUCCUCUGUGACAAGGUCACUGACGGUUCCUUGGUGAUGCUGAUCUAUAUAUGACAUGAACUCAACUACUGCGUACGGUGUAGUGGUCUUGAACUACAUUUCAAAAAUGAGAAAGAAUUAAGAAUUGCAAUAGACAAAGGUCUUCUAUAUAAAAUCAAAAAGGUGAUGUCUUUCAGUUUCAAUUACUUACUGGACGCUUCCCAAACCCAUCAUCCAGGUUGUCCACUGCGACAACAACAUCAAAGUCCAUUUCAUGAACAAAACAAGCUCUAGGAAGCGAGUAGUUGAUGGUGUGAUUAACUAAGCAUCCUCUUGGCACAUCAAGGUGGUCCAUGUAAAUUAUCUGCAAAAUGCAAAAGACACAAAAAAGAAAAGAAAACAUUAGUGCCCCCAAAAAAGGUUUUUUAUCCCGGAAACAAAAGGAGUGGAAUGUUACAUGAAUGAAGGGGUUGUACCGGAAGCAUUGGUAGACAUCCACCAAUGCGAAAUUUCAGUUUACCCUCAUUCCUCUUAUCCUGGUAUUUUUUAACUUCUCUCAUCACAUCACAAAGGAUAUGCUCAUCCCACUCGAACUCAUGGACAACACUCAUAUCUCGUAGGGUGUAGAGAUAAUCUAGGGGUACCAUGUUUGCUGUCCUAGGAGCUAGGACCAAAGCUAGGCAUAGUAAUGCCCAUGACCUCUCGAUGGUCUCCUCCUCCUCAUCAUCUCCUCUAGAUAAAACAGCAACUGUGGUGGGUAUCGGAGCCCUAUCCCCGUCCAGAUAAACAUCACAGAAAUCAGCUUUGCCCCUCUUCCCGAACUCAACCGGUCUGCAACCAGAUGGUACAUUGAAUAUCUUCUUAACCAUGUCUCUUGAAAAUUGGAUCUCCUUGUGGUCAUUAAUCCUGCAAUUCACAAAAAUUACAAAAAUCAGUAGAUGUUGCGAGAAAAAAGAAAAAGAUGUUGUGCAACAGAGAGAAGAACUAAAAAGAGAUAUUACAUAUUUGAGCACACGACUCUUAGUCUCAAUCCUCAUAACUAUGAAAUCGAGAAGCCCUUCAGGAGGAGGAACCAAAGGAGAGAUAUAUAGCAAAUCCCCGAAGCUGGACUUGCUUAUUACAUCCCUCUUCUUCCCUUUAAUUAUGUUGGCUAUGUCGCGCAGCCGCUUUGCCGACCAUCGAGUUUGGUAGAUGGACAUGCUGUGAAAACAAAACAAAAAUGAAUACAUGGUGCUAUGAGCAUGCAUCUCUAGUGAUCUAAAAAGAAAUAAAAAUGUACUGAAACUAGUGAAAAAUUGCAGACAUGAUGAAAAUUUCACGGGAAAAAAGCUAACUUCAAGGAGGCCCAGCUAAUUUCAGAAAAACGAAAGCUAUUGACAGCAUUCCACAUAAGCAAAAAAUAUGAGCAAUGAGCAAGUCCUGCUAAUUCUUCUGCUGAAAAAGCUACAGCAAGUCCAGCUAAUUUUCACAAACUAUUCCAACUACGAGGUACAACGAAAAUGAGCUAAGAAACAUCAGCAACAAAAAAGGGGAGGAUGAGUUACAGAAACUAUGAGCUGGAAAAAUUCAGAAACUAACAAAAAAUGGGCUUCCUAUGAGCUUCAGAAAAUAAAACAAGGGGAUCCUACAGAAACUGCGCGCUCCAGAAAUUCAGAAACACACGAAUGGGAUCCCUGCAUCACACCAUAACCUAUGAGUUUCAAAACUAUGCGCUCCAGUGCUCAAAUUUUCAGCAGCAUAAAACUGAAAAAAUCGAUCCUGAAACUCGAGCAUCACAUCAGCACAUCGAAUCCAGCAUCACAUCAACAACACUAAUUCUCUACUACACAAACAAGUCCUACUACGUCGGCGACCUCCACACCCACACCGCAACCGAUCUGCUACAAUGCCGCAGAACUACCUACAAUGCUGCCAAAGUACCUACAACCGCUCUGCUCCAUGUCGCGCCGUCGUCUCCAUCACGAUGACAUGCCACCCCCUAUAAAUCAAGCCGCCCCGGGAAGAACGGCCACAAACGCCUACAAAUCGCCCAGAAAUGCGGGGGAAAGGAAGAUAGCAGGAGCUGUGAGUUUGUGCGGCAUAAAUCAUCUCUCUCUCGGCUGUAAGGUUUUCCUCUAUAUCUCGCUGUUCACGUGAUAGUACUUCGUGUUCAUGCCUAAAGCUUGCAGGGAUUCUGCAGUUUGAUCUGACAGAACUGACGCCAUCAAUCAGGUUGAGUUCAGGACCCGACGCCAUCAGGACCGGACCGAGCAACCUCAGACAGACAACAGACAAAAAUCGACCUCAUCCAGCCACCGCAGGCAGGCAAGAAUUGAAUCGAGUUCCCGCUGCUACACAGAUCUGAUCCAACUCACGGAAACUCUAUCAGUACUAGUACAUGCUAACCACGCUUGGAACAGUUUCUCUGCUAAGCCUAACACCCAGCUGACACUCAACGACACCGACACCAUGAAUCAGGUUGGAGCCGUCGUCCUGCGACCGCAGACAAGAAAGUGAAUCCGCUUCCCGCUGCAAAGCCACGGCACUCAAGGAAAACGAACAACGACGGAAACUCUAGCGAAAGGAGCAGGAAGAGAACUGAAGCGGAAACAAAAUCCAUCCGCCGCAGGAUCGAUGACACUGGUAGGUAGGUACCACGGGCGCUCCACGAUCCGGCCACCGAAGCGGGGGGGCGUUCCUCGGCGAAUUAAUCCCCGCGACCCAGAUCGAGUUCCCGGCAACGCACGUCAGACCCAGACCGCCCGCCGUACCUAUGUCAACUCGCGAACAAAUCCCUAUCGCCCACCCAAUUUCCGUCCAAGUAAAGAUGGUUAGCGAGGAGACACGGGGAAGAUUCGGUCCAUACCUUGCCGGUCAGGGUCGAAUCGCGGGGAGGGGACGACCGCCUGGGCGGCCGGUUGCUGUCGCCGCCUGCCGGCUGGACCGCUGGAGUUAGCACGGGGGAAACUGACGCGGAUUUACCCGGCUAAUCCGUCCGUGCCACGCGCCGGCUGCACGGGUAGACAGGGAGGCGAGCCAACCGCCCGACUGCGGAGCAGGAGGGAUCGAUGGGGGAGCGGAGGAGCACGAGGACGAGACGAGACGGGACGCGAGGUGUGGCUGGAGGCUGGCUGUGGGUGGCGGAAAUCUUUGGGGGUCGCCGCUACAUAUAUCCACGGGAUAGAAAGACAAGGGUACCGCUGCGCCGCCGUUACCUUGUCCUGGCCCUAGAUGAUGGAUCGGACAGUGUAGGAAGCACCGGUAGGAAAGGGGCGGGGCUAGGGUUGGAAGGGCCAAAACUAGGCAGGUGGUUGGAAUUUGAAAUGGGGGAGGGCGGGGUGGUGUAUUUGGUCCAAAAGUUUUUUUCCCUUUUGCAAAAUAUAACUCUUGUAUUACUCAAUACCAAAUUCAGGCCACAUAGUCGUUCGUUCGGCAUUAUGGUCUACCAAAUUGCCAUGAAAUGACUUACACAAUUUGUGGUUCAACAGACAUGAGAAAUACAAGAACCACGUUUCUUUUGUAAAAUUAAUAAUUGAUCUCUCUAAUCGGAAAAGCAUACUUCGAUUUGUUGAUCUCUGUGCUCUUCAUUAUUGAUGGUCUAAAAUUGUGAUGGUUGUUUUUAACUGCAGUCCCGGCUAUCCGUUAUGCGGCUAGUUAGUUCUGGCGCGAAAUGAAACUUAUUUAUUUUAUGACCGGCGACAUCGAACUUAUGAAAAGAUCACCGACACAUGAAGAACGCUUGGGCUCGCCGCAACAAAACUGUUAAAAAUUUACGUCAUCUCAUAGAACAACAUCAUUGUAUCACUCAAUUACGUGCACCACGCUACUUCACACUUGUAUAGAAUAAUGCCGCUAAAAGUUGUCCAGCUUCGAUAGCAGUUCAAGUAUUACACCGCCAGGGACAUGUUAUAAUUUGACACACGAACACGCCACCUUAGAAAUAGGUAUCCGUUGUGCUUAGGUAUAGGUAGGGCGCUAAAAGUUGUAGCGCAUCCAGCAUGGUGUAGGGUAGCCAGUUAUGAAAAAUUUCAAUCUAUGGAAAGUAUUUACUCACCACCAAAGUUGGCCUGCCAAGGAAAGCAAAUCUGCACCGGUGGUUUCUUUAGUUAUGGAAAAGCUGUCCAUUAAAUACUCCAUAGAUAUUCAGAAUAAUUCAUGAUACGCGCGCGAUUUCACUGCUGGUGUUUUAGUUACCCGAGUGCAAUUAAAUGUUAAUUUUAGGGAACUAUUUAGUGGCCAGCCUGGACAUUGCAAGGGUGCCACCCAGAGUUACCAAAAAUGUACCUUACAUGGACCAUCUGUGAGUAUAAUCCCAAUUAGGCGCUGGGAUAAAGCGAUUGGCUGUGUACCAUCCGUAAGUUCUGCUAAGUUGGUUACUAAUCAUGUGGUGUGGAGCUAUGGAAAGAAACAGAAAAGAGUGCGCCAUACUUGAAAGGUGACUAAGACCGGGAUCCCAUAGUUACAUAGGCUAUCACAUUCACUGGACCUUCAGCUGGUUUGAUCAGUCUUGCCUAGCGAUCUAAAUCGUCCGAUCUCAACCCUGACCAACCGCGACUGCUGGAUAUUUCAUGGAUCACCAUGAGCCAUUGGAAAUUUUACCGAUGGCAAAGGUGGGCUAUUCGGUAGUUUCGAUUGGAGCAGGAUCGACAUUUUGCAUCAGGAGAUAUGAAUGGCAGUCGCUGCGUGCUAAAAUCCUAGCUUGCCCCCACCUUUUCCUCGUCCCGGACUCAUCCUCUAUCUUCCCUGUGCCGCCACCCCCGCCUCCUCUUCUCCUUCCGCUCACCCUCCCCGCUCCACCUCCUUUAUCUUACUCGUGCCACCACCCCCGUGCCCUCCCAUCCCACUGCUCACCCUCCCCACCCCAUAUUCUCUAUCCUCCUCGUGCCGCCACCCACGCCUUCUCCCUACCGGCCGCUCACCCUCCCUGCCCCACCUUUGCUCCUCUCUGUUAUCGUGGUCAUGUAGCCACUGCGCUCCUCUUCCUUUUGAGACAUCUCUUUCCCCUCCCUCCACCCUGAUCCCGUCCUGACAAGCUAGGGCACUUGUCUUCACCUCCGCUCUCCCUCUAGGACAUCGUAGUCCUCUCGUAGUCGCCCACAUCCCCGUCUUCACACACUAUUUUUGGAUGCCACCCAUUCCAGCUUUCACUCACCGCCUCUCAUCGAUUCAGUAACCCGCCUUCCCUCACCAUCAUUUGUCAAUUGAGCCAUUCCAAAUACCAAGCGUACAAUUUGCCUAUGCUAGACAUGGGGCAAGGCUGCCUGGUGGGGCGCGUGGGAGGCCGGCACUGGUUGCAGGCGGCCUCACCAGAGGAGGCACGUGGGAGGCUAGUGCUAGUCACUCAGGCAGGCGGUUGAGAGGUGGAGCUCGCGAAGUGCUGGGGUGCGAGCACAUGGUGUGUGUGAGAGAGAUGUGCAAGGGGGAAGCAGUAGGGAGUUGGCUAGCGAUGACAACAUGGGAGAGCAUCCCAACAUGUGGAAUUCGUGUGGUAGGAAGGUCUCGGGCGUUAUGGCUCAGGGACAGGAGCUCGCGGGAGCGAUGGGAGGAAGAGAGGUUGGGGAUGUGUGAAAGAGAGAUAAUCAGGCUUUCGAGAGGGAGAGGUGAUUUUCUCAUGGUCCUUUGUUUUCUAUUUAACAUUCAUAUGUGUUCCUCCUUCUGCCAUGUAAGGUGCUUAUUGGAUAAAUAUUUUUUGUUCCCGCUUAUAAAUUUCAUGUCAAGUAGCUGUUAAUCCCGCAGUAUACUUACUCAUUUUUUUCAUGCACUGUCUACACUAGUACAGGAACCCCACACUAGCCGCGUGCAGCCCACACGCCCCUAGUUUCUCGCCUUUGGAAAGUGGUUACUAUUGACGUGCCGGUUGCACGCCGCUAGUAAGUCACCUACUUGUGGUGUGUUGGUAGCACGCACCUAGUAAGACACCUACUAGUGGCGUGCAAUAGGGUGGCAUGUCGUGGGUAGUAAAAACACUAUCGGCGUGCCGAUUGCACGCCGCUAGUAAGUCACCUACUUGUGGUGUGCUGGCAGCAUGCCGCUAGUAAGAAACCUAGAAGUGGCGUGCAAUAGGAUGGCAUGCCGGGGGUAGUAAGAACACUAGUGGCAUGCAUUUGAAUUGCACUCGGUGGGUAACACUACUGGUGAAUAUGAAGGCGCACACCACUAGUAAGUUAGAACACUUGUGGCAUGCUUACUUUCUGACACGCCAGUAGUAGUUUGUUCAGAGUAAAAAAAAUCUAUCAUGACAACAUUUUUUUGCUAUCCGGCUGUCGUGACAAUGUUUGCACAUACGAUUCAUAUAUUGAUAUAAAAAUAUGCAUUAAAUAGAUAAUUUAGAGUAUAACGUUUUACAUGAAUGAAAUGAUCCAAAUGGAACACAUACAUAACACAUUUAUUAUGCAUACAUUCACAUUCCGGAUUUGUAGGAAACAUUGUCUAGUUUCACGGGGACGACUCGGUCAUGGGAAUGCGGCUAGUAGGAAGAAAAAAGAUAUGAACCUAUGAUGUGUCGUAACAGAACAUAAUAUGAUGUGUUGAUGGACCUAUGAUGUGUCGUAACAGAAAAAAUAUGAGCAAAGAUCAUACCAAACAUAUAACAACAUACAUAAAAUAAAAUCCGUCUAUAUAACCUUAGAUACAAACAUAAAACGUGGCAAAACAUAGCAACAUUUGCCCAUACCACUACCGGGAAAAGACUUAAGCUGGCCCCAAGUUAGUGGCGGGAACGGACAUGAACCCGCCAUUGCUAAUUUAGAAAAGUAGUAGUGGCGGGUAAGAACUCAUNNNNNNNNNNNNNNNNNNNNNNNNNNNNNNNNNNNNNNNNNNNNNNNNNNNNNNNNNNNNNNNNNNNNNNNNNNNNNNNNNNNNNNNNNNNNNNNNNNNNNNNNNNNNNNNNNNNNNNNNNNNNNNNNNNNNNNNNNNNNNNNNNNNNNNNNNAACCGCCACUAAAAUAUGUAAAGCAGUGUCAGGCAGAAAUAACAACCCGUCAUACACUACUAGGAAAAAGCUUAUACACAGACACUUAUCAGUAGUGCUUGUUAAAGUGAAGCGCUACUGCUACAUAGCAGUAGCACGUGUCAGGACAGUAGCUCCUCCACUAUACUCUUGGUAGGCCAGCUUCUCUAUACCGAAAGCAAAAAUCCAAAAGAAAAAAAUGUUUUGUUAUGAUCUAAUCUGCGACCUUUGUUUCCUUCUAUGAUGUUGCAGAUACAACAUUGAGCGCCAAGCUGCUUAUUACUACACAGGCAACGUCUUCGGCAAGUUCUAGAAACAAGUGACAACGUCUACCGGCUACAUUGUCAACCAAGACCCUUUGUACCAAGGGCAAGGUCUCCUAUUCAAGCUAACAUCAAGCUUAUAUGAGAAUCCAAAGGUCUAUUUUGUGCAUGGAUGUUAUGAUGGAUGAAGGGGUGUUUCAAUGUAGUUGCCACUACUUUGAGAGGAAUGGCCUGGUUUGUGCCCACAUAAUAAGGGUGAUGGUGCACCUCAAUGUGCAAGUUAUUCUGAAGCGAUACUUGUUGGAGAGGUGGUCUGUAGCAGCGACAACAAUCAUGGCCAGAACUGGGAGAUUGCUGGACUUCGGGCACCCCUGAACAAACACGCUGAAAUACAACUCCCUGUGCCGAAGGUUGACAUGGCUUGCCUCAAAUGUAUGUUGGAAUGAGGAUGCCUACAAAAUAUUGAAUGAAGCAAUAAAUUUUCUUGAGCUUGCCAUAACAGUGGCGAGGAGAGGAGCCCUGCCAGCACAACAUGCAACACAGCAGAGUGAACCACCAACACCACCAGCUGCUGCAACAGUAACAUUGCAUGAUGACCUGCCAUAGCCUCAAAGCUUGGAGAUGCUGCAAAACCCGGCUCGUGUGCCUAAGAAAGGGAGACCAACUGAAAGUGUGAAGAGGAAGAAGACUCUCGUAGAGCAACGAGCAGAUGAAUAAAAAAUAAAGGUGAAACAACAAGAAAAGAAACCAACAGCAACAGGAAAGACAAAGAUAAUAGCUGAAAAACAGAUUGUUCGCUGUAAACAUUGCCAUGAAGAAGGACACAAUAUUCAGACACGUGGAGCCUAUAAAGCUGCAAUGGAGGCGACGGUAGCACCCCCUACAUGCCAGUUUUGUUAUGAGGUUGGUCAUGUAGUCCCAACUUGUGUGUAUAUUUCUAAGCUGUGAUGGGAAAUGCUCCAAAAAUUGCCCAAGCAUCGCAAUUGAAGCUCUAGAGAAGAGAUGAGAGAAACAAGGUAGAAAGUUUUUUUUUUGCAAAUUCCUUCUCAUUUCAAGCUCCAUUUCCCAUGUUUGAGAUACAUGUAUAAGCUAUUUUUUGCAAACUUGAUGAUGUAAUUGAGUUGUAUGUGAAAACUUGAAAUUCUAUGUUACGCAAAAACAGAAAAAAAGUUAAAAUUUGAGCUCAGAUUGUUAUGUGUGCCUGGAUUUGAGACAUACAAGCUCAUUGGUUGUCUAUGUAUAUUGCAUGAUUUUUUUGGUUUCGAUCGUAAAAUGGUUUGAUUGUGCAAUUCUGGAGCAAUAUGUUUCCGAGUGAACAUAAAAAGACGAUGUUACCGUGGCAUUUAUGGGAAGUUUCACUAAUGAAAAUAUUUAUACCAGUGAGCAUAAAAAACAAAGACUAAAAAAACGUAGUCAUUUCAUUAUCAUAUCUGAAAAAUUCAUCUCUACUGUACCACAAUGAUGCUUAGCAAUGGAUGAUGCUCUGACAUUCAAUAAAUAAAAGAAAAAGGAACAUCCCCAGCAUGACACAUGCUCUAGUUUGGGCUCCAUAGAGUACUAGAGAAGGUGAUAGGUAAUAUCAACUAGCUGAUUCCCAGUUACAUAAACGAGUUAGCAAGCAACAUGUUUCAGUUACAAAAAACAAAAUGAUGGACCCAAUAAUAGCCUAAGCAAAGUAGCAAGGUCUUGUCAUCCUGAUUGGCAUCCUCUAGGGCUCCAUCAUCUAUGACCUUUUCCCCUUCAACAAGGCCUGGAACUCUUCUGCUGAGUUAAGAGUGUUUUGCGGGUGCUUGAAAAGCUUUGCUGCAACAA
Molecule: long non-coding RNA, 12218 nt
Filed under: Triticum aestivum (bread wheat)
Lineage: Eukaryota; Viridiplantae; Streptophyta; Magnoliopsida; Poales; Poaceae
Description: long non-coding RNA (TAES_LNC016939)
Source: RNAcentral